Molecule: ribosomal RNA, 399 nt
Filed under: uncultured bacterium
Lineage: Bacteria
Description: bacterial SSU rRNA
Rfam family: Bacterial small subunit ribosomal RNA
Source: RNAcentral
UGGGGAAUAUUGCGCAAUGGGCGAAAGCCUGACGCAGCAACACCGCGUGAGGGAUGACGGCCUUCGGGUUGUAAACCUCUUUCAGCUCCGACGAAGCGAAAGUGACGGUAGGAGCAGAAGAAGCACCGGCUAACUACGUGCCAGCAGCCGCGGUAAUACGUAGGGUGCAAGCGUUGUCCGGAAUUAUUGGGCGUAAAGAGCUCGUAGGCGGUCCGUUGCGUCUGCCGUGAAAACCCGGAGCUCAACUCCGGGCCUGCGGUGGAUACGGGCGGACUAGAGUCCGGUAGGGGAGACUGGAAUUCCUGGUGUAGCGGUGGAAUGCGCAGAUAUCAGGAGGAACACCGGUGGCGAAGGCGGGUCUCUGGGCCGGAACUGACGCUGAGGAGCGAAAGCGUGGGG